UCGAAUAUGAUCUCUCCAUCACACGCACUAUCCGAAUUCGCUCGUCCUCAUUAGUCAUAGAUAAAACACGACGACAAUCUAACAUAAGAUCUGAUAUAGAAUCAGUCUAUAUAAUAAAAAUAAAAUUAGCAAAAUACUAUAAAAUUAAGAACAAAUGAAACUGUAUAAAAUAUUUUACAAUCUUAAAUUAUUAAAAGUAAUAAGACUAAUAUCCAUCUGUAUACGAUCAAUCCGAUACACUUCAUAAAAUCUCAGAUAUCAUAAAUAAUCUAGUACUCUAGCUAAAAUAUGCUUUGUCCUCCAGAAGUCAGCAUCA
RNAcentral lists this long non-coding RNA (316 nucleotides) under Elaeis guineensis (African oil palm). Its description in RNAcentral is "long non-coding RNA (EGUI_LNC006005)". Lineage: Eukaryota; Viridiplantae; Streptophyta; Magnoliopsida; Arecales; Arecaceae. The record is from RNAcentral.